GUUUUUUAUCUUUCCAUAACCAGGAGGAGAGCGCGUCGUUGUGUUACAAAGCUUUACGCGUUGAUUUAUUACAAAAUCACUGGUGGUGGAUGCACAACAUGACACCAUCAGCGUCAACAACAUUCGUGGACCCGUGGACACAUGUUGAGGUGGUCACAUAACGAACAUCUGUCAGGCCAUGUGCCACAACCAAACAAGUAUUGUCUCCAGUCCCAAAUGCUUCAUUGCCAUCCCAGUCCCAGAGGACCCCCCAGUCCAACCCUGGUCCUCGAGAGCCACUGCACUGCUUGUUUUCCAGCUGUCCCUGCCCUUCCAGCUUCUGACUGACAACACACCUGAUCCAUUACUAAUCAGCAGUGAGUAAGGCAUGGAUAGUUGGUAAACAAGCAGAGUCAUGUCAAAUGCUUAAUGGCCAAAUUAAUUUAUGAGGGGUGGUGGCCAACUUUCAAAGCAUUUCAAGGCUACAGCUUUGUACUAUGUAAUUUAAGAUGCUCUGAAGAGGUGGAGUCCAACUGCCACAGACUCCGAAAUUGAUGCAUUAAUGGCGGAACACCUAAAACACGCUCCAGGAAGAGCUGGGGGCGGUGGUUAUAAGAAAUAAGCUGUUUUGAGAGACAUUUACAUGUGUGUUUACAUUAAUCCAGUAUUUUUGUUUUGUACUUGUUUGAUUUAUAGCUGUUUAAAAUUUAAUGCAAAACCGUUUCAAUUAAAAAAAUUGAGUACUGCCACAAUAAUAAUGCUUCUGGAAGAGCAAGUGCUUGUGGAGCAACAAAAUGAUAGUAAACAUUUUGGAAUAAUGAUAAAUAAAUAAAAGAUUAUAAAUAUA
Molecule: long non-coding RNA, 826 nt
Organism: Labeo rohita (rohu)
Lineage: Eukaryota; Metazoa; Chordata; Actinopteri; Cypriniformes; Cyprinidae
Exons: 7
Source: RefSeq, a predicted model, not a curated record